RNAcentral lists this ribosomal RNA (253 nucleotides) under uncultured bacterium. RNAcentral describes it as "partial 16S ribosomal RNA". It matches the Rfam family "Bacterial small subunit ribosomal RNA", at positions 524 to 776 of the family's 1533-position model. The record is from RNAcentral.
UACGGAGGUGGCAAGCGUUGUUCGGAAUUACUGGGCGUAAAGGGCGCGUAGGCGGCAAGGCAAGUCAGGUGUGAAAGCCCCGAGCUUAACUCGGGAAUUGCAUCUGAAACUGCUGUGCUUGAGUUCUGGAGGGGGUAGUGGAAUUCCCAGUGUAGCGGUGAAAUGCGUAGAUAUCUGAAGGAACAUCAGUGGCGAAAGCGACUUCCUGGACGAAUACUGACGCUCAUGUGCGAAAGCGUGGGGAGCAAACAGG